Camellia sinensis is the source of this 330-nucleotide non-coding RNA. The record is from RefSeq and is a predicted model, not a curated record. NCBI's taxonomy places the organism in Eukaryota, Viridiplantae, Streptophyta, Magnoliopsida, Ericales, Theaceae.
CGCAUGGGUAAUAAUUCUAUUCAGGUAAUAUUUAAUAGUAAUGUGGUCUUCAUAUGGUUAGUUUGAUGAGUUAAUUUCAUUAACUUUGUUCAUUAUAUGGUUAAUUGUUGUUAUGUGUACUUGGUUUGCUUCGCAAUGUAGUCGGGUGGUACUGUUUACACUUCCCAAGGUGAAUCACAACCUCAUUUCGUCAUGGGUGGUAAUUCUAUUCAGUCGAGUGCUGCUAUUUAUACUUGCCAAGGUCAAUCACAAUCGCGUUUCAUCAUGGGUAGUAAUUCUAAUCAGGAUCAUGGUCUUGGUGUAAAUUUUUCUCAAUCACAACCUCGUUUC